Molecule: ribosomal RNA, 253 nt
Filed under: uncultured bacterium
Lineage: Bacteria
Description: partial 16S ribosomal RNA
Rfam family: Bacterial small subunit ribosomal RNA
Source: RNAcentral
UACGGAGGGAGCUAGCGUUGUUCGGAAUUACUGGGCGUAAAGCGCACGUAGGCGGCUUUGUAAGUUAGGGGUGAAAGCCCGGAGCUCAACUCCGGAAUUGCCUUUAAGACUGCAUCGCUUGAAUCCGGGAGAGGUGAGUGGAAUUCCGAGUGUAGAGGUGAAAUUCGUAGAUAUUCGGAAGAACACCAGUGGCGAAGGCGGCUCACUGGACCGGUAUUGACGCUGAGGCGCGAAAGCGUGGGGAGCAAACAGG